AUUUUAAAGCGCCUGAACUAAUUACUGGAGCGAAGGAGUAGUUAGUUGACGAGGAGGAGGGUUAUCGAAUGUUCGGCGGAUACCUCCCGGUUGAAGAUGCCAACCGAGAUUUCUUCUUUAAAACAUUGAGGCAACUUGAUGGACAAAGAGAAGA
RNAcentral lists this non-coding RNA (154 nucleotides) under Robertmurraya massiliosenegalensis. Its description in RNAcentral is "glmS glucosamine-6-phosphate activated ribozyme". It matches the Rfam family "glmS glucosamine-6-phosphate activated ribozyme aptamer". Rfam says of the family: This entry contains a glucosamine-6-phosphate activated ribozyme that is found in the mRNA for GlmS. GlmS is an enzyme that uses fructose-6-phosphate and glutamine to generate glucosamine-6-phosphate. The ribozyme catalyses self cleavage of the glmS mRNA that is thought to regulate GlmS activity. The record is from RNAcentral. Lineage: Bacteria; Bacillati; Bacillota; Bacilli; Caryophanales; Bacillaceae.